This 496-nucleotide ribosomal RNA is filed under the name Escherichia coli. RNAcentral describes it as "partial 23S ribosomal RNA". It matches the Rfam family "Bacterial large subunit ribosomal RNA", at positions 1 to 527 of the family's 2925-position model. The record is from RNAcentral. Lineage: Bacteria; Pseudomonadati; Pseudomonadota; Gammaproteobacteria; Enterobacterales; Enterobacteriaceae.
GGGUUGUGAGGUUAAGCGACUAAGCGUACACGGUGGAUGCCCUGGCAGUCAGAGGCGAUGAAGGACGUGCUAAUCUGCGAUAAGCGUCGGUAAGGUGAUAUGAACCGUUAUAACCGGCGAUUUCCGAAUGGGGAAACCCAGUGUGAUUCGUCACACUAUCAUUAACUGAAUCCAUAGGUUAAUGAGGCGAACCGGGGGAACUGAAACAUCUAAGUACCCCGAGGAAAAGAAAUCAACCGAGAUUCCCCCAGUAGCGGCGAGCGAACGGGGAGCAGCCCAGAGCCUGAAUCAGUGUGUGUGUUAGUGGAAGCGUCUGGAAAGGCGCGCGAUACAGGGUGACAGCCCCGUACACAAAAAUGCACAUGCUGUGAGCUCGAUGAGUAGGGCGGGACACGUGGUAUCCUGUCUGAAUAUGGGGGGACCAUCCUCCAAGGCUAAAUACUCCUGACUGACCGAUAGUGAACCAGUACCGUGAGGGAAAGGCGAAAAGAACCCC